UACGAAGGGUGCAAGCGUUGUUCGGAAUUAUUGGGCGUAAAGGGUGCGUAGGCGGUUUGGUAAGUCUGAUGUGAAAUCUAUGGGCUCAACUCAUAGUCUGCAUCGGAAACUGCCGGGCUUGAGUGUGGGAGAGGUGAGUGGAAUUCCUGGUGUAGCGGUGAAAUGCGUAGAUAUCGUGAGGAACACCAGAGGCGAAGGCGGCUAUCUGGACAAUUGCUGACGCUCAGGCGCGAAAGCGUGGGGAGCAAACGGG
RNAcentral lists this ribosomal RNA (253 nucleotides) under uncultured bacterium. RNAcentral describes it as "partial 16S ribosomal RNA". It matches the Rfam family "Bacterial small subunit ribosomal RNA", at positions 524 to 776 of the family's 1533-position model. The record is from RNAcentral.